This is a long non-coding RNA of Manis pentadactyla (Chinese pangolin), 746 nucleotides long. RefSeq lists it as uncharacterized. The record is from RefSeq and is a predicted model, not a curated record. NCBI's taxonomy places the organism in Eukaryota, Metazoa, Chordata, Mammalia, Pholidota, Manidae. The transcript is spliced from 4 exons.
GGAAGUCAUUUAUGUAAGCAGAGAGUCAUUUUAGACUGACCCAGUUUUUGGAGAUGAAGGUAAAGACUUUGAAGAGGCAAUCUCCACCGAAUUCAAUUUGCUGAAUCAGAUGCCAGUGAAACAGUAACUGGAACAUAGUAGGACCUCAAGUCAACAACACUGAAAUCAUGCUGUGAUGGUGGCUUCUCCCAGCUCCCAGUAAUGGAUCAGCCUUCACCCCCAUCUCAUCAUUUCUGCUUCCACCCCUAUUGUUGCAAGACUGAAAUGAAAGAGGAUUGUUUGGAGCCCUCCUAGAAGAAAGGUUGGAGAGCCACAUGACCUGGCCAAUUGGAUGGGAUCUGCCAAAGGAUCAGGAGCCAGUAUGUGACCCCACAGCUGGAUCUCCACUUGCUACAGGAAACCAAGUGCCCACCUAGCACAGUGGAACAGCAGCAUUGCCUCAGUUAUCUUGGGUCUCUGAGUGAUCAUGUGGAACAGUAUCCCGUCAGCCUUCAAUGAACAUUUACUCUGCGGAAGAGGGAAAUUUAAACAUAGACACAAAGGCAAGAACACCGUGUCAGACAGAGACCCACAAGAAGAACGCCAUAUGAUGACAGAGGUAGAUUAUGGAAUGAAGCACCUACGAGCCCAGGAAGGCCAAGGACCAAUGGCCACCAUCAGAUGUUAGGGGAGAGGCAAGGAAGGGACUCCCCCCUGAAAGUCUCAGGGGGACUGCUUCCCUCCACCACCAUGAUUUUGUACUUCAA